GAUGAAGAACGUAGCGAAAUGCGAUAAGUAAUGUGAAUUGCAGAAUUCAGUGAAUCAUCGAAUCUUUGAACGCACAUUGCGCCCCCUGGUAUUCCGGGGGGCAUGCCUGUUCGAGCGUCAUUUCACCACUCAAGCCUCGCUUGGUAUUGGGCGACGCGGUCCGCCGCGCGCCUCAAAUCGACCGGCUGGGUCUUCCGUCCCCUCAGCGUUGUGGAAACUAUUCGCUAAAGGGUGCCGCGGGAGGUCACGCCGCAAAACAACCCCAUUUCUAAGGUUGACCUCGGAUCAGGUAGGGAUACCCGCUGAACUUAAGCAUAUCAAUAAGCGGAGG
RNAcentral lists this unclassified non-coding RNA (331 nucleotides) under soil metagenome. Its description in RNAcentral is "partial contains 5.8S ribosomal RNA, internal transcribed spacer 2, and large subunit ribosomal RNA". The stretch from base 1 to 120 matches the Rfam family "5.8S ribosomal RNA", at positions 35 to 154 of the family's 154-position model. The record is from RNAcentral.